Molecule: ribosomal RNA, 321 nt
Filed under: Triticum aestivum (bread wheat)
Lineage: Eukaryota; Viridiplantae; Streptophyta; Magnoliopsida; Poales; Poaceae
Description: partial small subunit ribosomal RNA
Source: RNAcentral
AUGUGGUGCUUUUGCCCAAAGAGUGGUGCGGAGGGCAUCUCCAACUACAAAACCAUUAGUCUCAUCCAUGUUAUCAAUAUUAUUGCGAACGUGCUAUCCAUCAGCCUUGGCCCCCACAUGGAUGCCCUGGUCUCCAACGUGCAAAGUGCAAUCAUCAGGAGGGGAAGGAUUCACGAUAACUUUAUGUAUGUCCGAACUUUGCCCGCUGGUUGCACAAGUGCGGGACCCCCACCCUACUCUUCAAGCUUGACAUUCGCAAGGCCUUUGAUUUGGUUAAGUGAGAGUACAUCAUUGAUCUUCUACAAAGGAAAGGCUUCCUGA